CCCACAAGACGGCAGCACAGCGGCCACUGGGAGAGGAGGCCUCCGAGUUCCUGCUCGACCACUCAGCAGCCUAAAAUACAACCAGCUGCACUCGCUGCCUGGCCAGCUGCUGGGGGAGGAGUGAAAUCCUACCCCUCUCCCCUGAACCCGGGCACCGGACCAGGGCCCAGGAGGGAGAGUACGAACCGUUGGGACCCCGCCUGGCUGCUGGGGAAGGGCGCUGGGCGACAAGAGGGGACAGCCGGGAGAGGGGUCGCAGUGACUGCAGCGCCCAGAAGGCCAAGGCCAGAGAAGAGAGGCUGCCAGCACCGCGAGGAAGGCGCUGUUGGGCCAGAGACUCUGAGCCCUGCAGUCACAGGCUGAUUGGAGAAGCAGGAGGAGCUCAUGAACACCCAUCAUUCCUGGCCAAGUCCAGCAGGCAGAUCCUACCCCCUGAAGCUUCAUCAACCACUGAACUCUCAGGAAUUCAGAGAACUGGCAUCAGACACAAGAUGAGAAGUCCUUAAAGUAACCAGGCUGUCAGCAGAAAUCAAAUCCACCCUCGAAAUGAAGACUGGCUACUUUGUUCAAGCCACUGAUGACACUGUGGCCCUGGCAGUGCCUGUCUGCAGAUCCUGCUAGAUCCUGCUUGCAUGCUCACAUCCCCAGCACAGUGACGGAUUCAUAAUGGUGACUGGUGUUUGCUGAUCUAUUUCGUGUUUUCUGAGCCGAUUGUAACAAGCUCCUUUAUGAAAGCAAUUUCCAAGGGGGAAACUACAGAGAGGUCUUGAGCUGUGGCAGCUUUGAAGGGUGAUCCAGGCCUCCUCGGACAUUGGGUUUGGGGGAACCCGAGGUCAUUUGGAUAUCAAAGAUCUGAUGUGUCUGGUAUUGUCUUUCCCACAAGCUCCUUUUGUAUUUUGCACAUACAGGUAAGAUAGGAUCUUGAUUUUCCUGGAACCUGGCUUGGCUUGUUUUUGGGUGUGUGAUUGAGAUGGUUCAGAGCUGUCGGGGGGAAGACGAAGCCAAGACUAGACAAGCCAGGGCGGGUUAGCAACUUUCUGCUGUGUCAGGAGCCCCUGAGAAAGGUUUCCCAAGUCCUAUCCUGUCUUGCCUGGGCUGUUUGUUUUUAUCUUUGCUUCGCUUUCUUUUUUGAGUAUAAUUUACAUACAGUAAAACUCACCCUUUUUAGCAUACAGUUGUGAACAUAUACAGACAUGUAACCACCACUGCGAUCAAGAUAUAGAACAUUUCAAUUAUCCCAAAAUAGUCCUCUGCACCCCAUUUGUAACAGAUCCCAGCUUCUGGCAACCUCUGAUCUGUUUUCUGGCCCAAUGCUUUCACCUUUUCCAGAAGGUAAUACAGAAUGGAAUUACACAGCCUUUUGAGUCUGGCUUCUUUCACUAACAAUGCAUUUGAGGUUUGUCUGCAUUGUUUCCUGCAUCAGUAGCUCUGUUCCUUUUUAUGGCUGAAUAGUCUUCUAUUGUGUGGAUGGGUCACCAUUCAUUUAUCCAUGCACGCACUGGAGGACAUUUAGGUCUUAACUGAGCAUUUACCAUAAGUACUCAAUGUACUAAACACUUCAGAAUUUUACUCACUGGGUGACCUUGAGCAAGUCACAUGGCCUCUCAGAGCCUUGGUUUCCCCACCUGUAAAAUGGGUAUAAUGAUAGUCCAGCCUCACAGGGUUGUUCUGGCAAUUAAAUGAGUUAAUUAAUACACAUCGAGUGCUUGGAACAGGCUUGGCCAUGUCAGUGUUUGCUGUUAUUUAUUAUAAUGUUCAUGUCCUCGCCCCUCUCAAUUUCAUCCACAUAGCAACACCAGGAGGUAAAAUUUACUCUUCUCCCUGUCUUAUGGAGGACAGACCUAACGCUACAAGAGAUCAAGCUACUUGUGCAAGAUGACUCAGGCAGCAAAUAGGGAAAUAGUGGAUCUGGGGUUUAAACUAGGACAACUGACCCCAGACUCACCGGCUCAGUUCCUGUAUCAGUCAAGAUUUAACCAAAGAGACAGAACUGGUAGCAUAUAUGUGUGUGUGUAUUAAGAGAAUUAUUUCAAGAAAUUGUCUUACACAAUUGUGGGGGCUGUCUAGACAACUCUGAAAUCUGUUGCGCAGGCCAGGCUGGAAACUCUUGGUUAGGAGCCAAUGCUUCUUCUUCAGGAAAACUUCGUGUUUGAUUUUAAGGCCUUCCUGCUUUUAAAGUCUCUUAACUGACUGGAUGAGGCCCACUCAUGUUAUCAAGUAUCACCUCCCGUACUUAAAGUCAACUGAUUGUAGAUGUUAACCUAACCAAAUCUACAAAAUACCUUCACAGCAACACCUAGGUUAGUGUAUAAAAAACUGAAUAACUAGGAUCUAGAUGUAAGCCAAGCUGAUGCUUAAAACUAACCAUCACAGCUUCUCUGAGUUGACAGCCCAUCAUCUGCUGAGAUUUCCACGGAGGCCCCUUUUCUAGUAAUAUUCUAAAAUGGCUAGUCAGUGUCCAGGUCAUAGAACCAUAGCUUUAAGGGAAGUUAUUGUGUUUGUUUGUUUUGGGGUAGAGGGGCAGCUGGCCAGUACAGGGAUCCGAACUCUUGACCUUGGUGUUACCAGCACCAAGCUCUUCCGAGUGAGCUAACCAGCCAGCCUUGUUUGUUUCGUAAACAAUUAAAACUUUCUGAACAUGACCCAGGAGAGGGGAGUUUCUGGUUCUAAGGUUGCCCCUAAACACAAGGACAUCCCUUGCCUGGUGUUUUUGGCAAGAGGUUGCCCUCUAGUAUGCUGAGAAACAGUAGUAAAACCAGAAAGGCCCACCCAGAGCCAUGUUAAGAUUUUUGGAGGCUGCCGUAUUUGUUGUAAUUCUUAGUUAAAUUUACACUAUAAAAUACCAGCGUGAGGAAGUCCACAACGUCUGGGUUUUUCCCCAUGCUGACAAUUCUCCUGCUAUUUAUUUAUGUAACUUUUUAAGUGUCAAAUUCUCUCCCCCCUUGGUUGGCUCAGGACCCCUGCUGUGUGGGUGCCUAGCCCCAGCACCCUCAUCACAGGUCAGCCGGUAUGUGUCCUAGUUCAGAGUCCUUACUGAUGAUAUUCUUACCUCCAGGUCAGAGAAUGGACAGGGAGAGCCACAAUCCCCCAGCUGCACAGCAGGGAAAGGCCAUGGUCUCCUUUCUCAGGAGUCCCAACCUGCUGAAAAGCGGCAGUCACCAGAAGCUUUUUGCUGUGGUGCUACCAGGAAGGGGGUGGCUCAGCAGCCCACCACUAAGUAAAAUGGUUAGUCACCCCUUUGUCAAUGCUUCCUUUGUGCCAGGCCUGUCCUGAGCUCUUUACAAAUGUUGACUCAUGUCAACUUCAAAGCCCUUACGAGGUGGGUAACACCUGCCAUCCCCAUUCUACAGAUGAGGAAGCCAAGGCCCAGAAUGGUUAAGUAACCAGCCCAAGGCCACACAGCCAGGAAGUACUAGAGCCAAGAAUGAAAUAAUCUUAGUCUGUUUUCUGCUGCUAUAACAAAAUACCUGAGACUGGAUAUUUUAUAAAGAAAAGAGAUGUAUUUGGCUCACAGUUCUGGAGGCUGGGAAGUCCAACAGCAUGGCACUGGCUCUGGUGAGGGCCCAUGUACUUACUGCAUCAUCCCAUGGCAGAAGAGAGCCAAACUGGCUUUUUCUCCUUCCUCCUCCUCCUCUUCUUCUUCUUCUUCUUCAUCUUCUUUUCUUUUUGAACUAGCUUUUAUAACAAGCUUACUCUCGAGAUAACUAACUCACUCCCAGGAUAACAUUAACCCAUUCAUGAGGGCAGUUGCCUCUUGACCUAAUCACCUCUUAAAAAUCCCACUUCUCAACACUGUUGCAUUGAGGAUUAAGUUUCCAGCACAGGAACUUUGGGGACACAUCCAAACCAUAGCAGAAACCCAACAGUCUGGCUCCAGAGUCAAUGUUACAUGGCCCUGACCUCCCAGGCAGUUCUUCCAGGAACCUCCCCUCUCAGGAGCCACCACCCCUACCUCCCCUCCCCUAGGCCCUUCUCAGGGAGUACCUCUUUCUGAACCUCCCUUCCACGUCAGCCCUGUCCUUGGCCAUAGGAACCCCAGACCAUCAGAGCCAAACAGGCUCAUGCCACCCACAGAUGAGUAAAGAGAGGCCCCGAGAGGUGCGUGGCACACCCAUGUCCCCACAAAUCACAAAGGUAGUGGGGAGAGAAAAAGAAACAUAUGCGUAAAAACUACCAGGCAUAUUUAUGAAGCGUACACUGCAACUGCAUGCCAGACAUUGUUCCAGGCACUGGAGACCCAGAGGAGGCAGGACCCAGUCCCCGUCCCGAUGUUGAUCCUAGUCUGGGAGGGAGAUGACACUUAGCAUGAAAGCCAAGGAACAAGAUAAUUUCAGAUUUAGUGGCAAGUGCUCUUGAGAAGACAGGAAAGUGAAAGGCCUGAGGGGCAGAAUUAGAAAGACCUAUACAGGGAGGUAAGUUUUGGUCCUAGACCCUCACCUCGAUCUAUCUAUCUAUCUAUCUACCUAUCUAUCUAUUUAUUUUAUUUAUUUUUUUAUUUUUUUAU
Long non-coding RNA from Cynocephalus volans (Philippine flying lemur), 4504 nucleotides. RefSeq lists it as uncharacterized. NCBI's taxonomy places the organism in Eukaryota, Metazoa, Chordata, Mammalia, Dermoptera, Cynocephalidae. The record is from RefSeq and is a predicted model, not a curated record. The transcript is spliced from 4 exons.